This is a long non-coding RNA of Mytilus californianus (California mussel), 409 nucleotides long. RefSeq lists it as uncharacterized. Lineage: Eukaryota; Metazoa; Mollusca; Bivalvia; Mytilida; Mytilidae. The transcript has 3 exons. The record is from RefSeq and is a predicted model, not a curated record.
UUUCAUAUACAUGUAUAAAUAUGAUUCCCUGUACACAUGUAUACUCAAUAGUCAAUAGAGAACACUAUUGAGACAAAUACAAAGAACAAGAUUGCAGAAGCUGAAAUACUACCACCUUAAAGAAAGAGGGCACUUGAUAAAGUACCAGGGAAGCGUUACAGGGUGAAGGUUGUUGACACAAUUCUUGAUUUAGAUGUAACCAAGAAUAAAGAAACAAUAACCAAUAUUACAAGUUUUUACAACUUUAGUUUGAGAGCAGUCAUUUGAGGAUGUGGCAGACAUACAAUAUUGAUUAAGGUAUUACUUUUAUAUUCAACAUAAAGAAAAAAACAGAUUACAAAUAACAUAUAGUUUUAAACAUAACACAACCACUGAAAAUACAGGGUCUGGCUUGUACACAGGUGGGUAA